Molecule: non-coding RNA, 121 nt
Organism: Erinaceus europaeus (western European hedgehog)
Lineage: Eukaryota; Metazoa; Chordata; Mammalia; Eulipotyphla; Erinaceidae
Source: Rfam
GUGUUGUAUGAAAGGAGAGAAGGUUAGAAAUGUCAGGGAUUAAAUCUGGCCCUUAGGUAUGCAAACCCUACGCUUUAAAGUUGAAUUAGUUCCCUUCAGAAGUUAUGUAAGAAAAAUAAAU